RNAcentral lists this ribosomal RNA (253 nucleotides) under uncultured bacterium. RNAcentral's name for it is "partial 16S ribosomal RNA". It matches the Rfam family "Bacterial small subunit ribosomal RNA", at positions 524 to 776 of the family's 1533-position model. The record is from RNAcentral.
CACGUAGGAACCGAGCGUUAUCCGAAUUUACUGGGCGUAAAGCGCGUGUAGGUGGCUCGAUAAGUUGGGUGUGAAAGCUCCUGGCUCAACUGGGAGAGGCCGCUCAAUACUGUCGGGCUUGAGAACGGUAGAGGGAGGUGGAAUUCCCGGUGUAGUGGUGAAAUGCGUAGAUAUCGGGAGGAACACCAGUGGCGAAGGCGGCCUCCUGGACCGUUUCUGACACUGAGACGCGAAAGCUAGGGGAGCGAACGGG